UGAAUGUAAUGUAGUACAGGGGUGGCUAUAAUUUAUACAAUCAUAUUUGAAAAGAAGCAUGAACAAUUUUAGUUUUAAAGGAUUAAGUUACAAAAAGUAUGCUAAAAAUGAAGAUUUCAUUUUAGAAUAAAAUAUCUUUUCUAUUACAUCUUGCAAACUACCAUUCAAUAAAUUGUACAUGCAAUUUUUUUACUUCUUUGAAAGUAAUUGGCUUAUUUAACGAUUUGUAUCUUCUUGAGGUGACUUUCUUUUCAUCAUAAAAACCCAGUUGAGUACUUUGUAGCAAUUUACAUUUUCUUCCUUCCUGUUUAUAGAGUACAGAAUGAAUAUAAGCUCUUAUUCUUACACCAAAUAACUACAUAAAAUGCCAAGACUCUGGUUAAUUAACAGUGGAUCUUUAAAUAACACAUGUCCUCCAAAUAAAGCAAGUCAGAACUUGAAGUGCCCAAACAUGUCAUAGGUGACUGAUGAAGUGUACCUAGUGACCCAGUGAAUUGAUAAGUUCACCAUGACAACCAUUAUUUCAGAUAGCUGCACCAUAGGCAAAGCAGAAGCUGACCAGAGACUAGAUAUUUCUUGCUCUCCAUGCACUGACUCAGAGAAGCAACCAAUAACAGCAGAAGUGACCCUUUGGGAAAUGGCACCAGGUGUCCCAGGCUGGUGCUUAAAGUGGGAAUAUUAAGGCGAUUUGCCACGAGAAGGACAUGGCCUGGUGGCUACUGCACCUUCAGCUUCCGCACACAUAAAUACAUAUGGAACACACCGGACCUAGUCUCCAGCCUGGAGCCAUGCCUACAGCAUGGCUGAAGCAUGAAGCAGGGCUAACUGGCCACAUUCAACCUCCAUCAGCUGAAGCACAAUACACCUGCAAACCUAUGAGUCUGAGAAUAAAGGCUUGUUAUUGAAAG
Molecule: long non-coding RNA, 908 nt
Filed under: Homo sapiens (human)
Lineage: Eukaryota; Metazoa; Chordata; Mammalia; Primates; Hominidae
Description: HSALNT0298414
Source: RNAcentral